UAGGGAAUCUUCCACAAUGGACGCAAGUCUGAUGGAGCAACGCCGCGUGAGUGAAGAAGGUCUUCGGAUCGUAAAACUCUGUUGUUAGAGAAGAACACGAGUGAGAGUAACUGUUCUUGUAUUGACGGUAUCUAACCAGAAAGCCACGGCUAACUACGUACCAG
RNAcentral lists this ribosomal RNA (164 nucleotides) under uncultured bacterium. RNAcentral's name for it is "partial 16S rRNA". It matches the Rfam family "Bacterial small subunit ribosomal RNA", at positions 355 to 511 of the family's 1533-position model. The record is from RNAcentral.